CCUACCGAGCCUAGUUAUAGCUGGUUGCUUAAGAAAUGAAUGUUAGUUCAGCCUUAUGUAAUUCUAUAACCAAAACUUAUUAACAAAAAGAACAAAAGCAAUACAUAAGAGUUAGUCAAAGGGGGUACAGCCCCUUUGAAACAGAACACAACCUUAUUCAGGAGGACAAGGAUCAUACCAUAAAAGGACAAAAUUACCUCAGUGGGCCCAAAAGCAGCCACCUGUAAAGAAAGCGUUAAAGCUCCGGUAAAUACAGACCAAUAAUAAAGACAAUACACUCCCCACCCCCUAAAAAUAUUAAGCUAUCCUAUGCACACAUAGGAGAAACAAUGCUAAAAUCAGUAAUAAGAGGGCCCAAGCCCUCUCCUAGCACAUGUGUAAGUCAGAACGGACCGACCACUGACAAUCAACGGACCCAAACAGAGAGAAAAAGAACAAACUACAAAAAACAAGAAAAAUCUAUUUAAUACCACAAACCGUUAACCCAACACAGGAGUGCCUAAAGGAAAGACUAAAAGGAGAAGAAGGAACUCGGCAAACACAAACCCCGCCUGUUUACCAAAAACAUCGCCUCUUGCUAACAAAGGAAGUACUAGAGGUCCCGCCUGCCCUGUGACCACAAAGUUUAACGGCCGCGGUAUCCUGACCGUGCGAAGGUAGCGUAAUCAUUUGUCUUUUAAAUAGAGACCUGUAUGAAUGGCAUAACGAGGGUUUAACUGUCUCCUUCCCCUAGUCAAUGAAAUUGAUCUGCCCGUGCAGAAGCGGACAUAAAUACAUAAGACGAGAAGACCCUAUGGAGCUUUAGACAAAAGAUCAAACAUGUAAAGAAACCAAGUUAACCAAAAGGAACACAAAGGCCACGAAACCCGACGUAAACUGAUCCAAAUGUCUUCGGUUGGGGCGACCAUGGGGGAGAAAAAAGCCCCCACGAGGAACAGGGACUAAUCCCUAAGCCAAGAGAGACAUCUCUAAGCAACAGAAAAUCUGACCAAAAGUGACCCAGAAUACUAAUUCUGAUCAACGAACCAAGUUACCCUAGGGAUAACAGCGCAAUCCUUUCCC
RNAcentral lists this ribosomal RNA (1062 nucleotides) under Anguilla japonica (Japanese eel). RNAcentral describes it as "partial 16S rRNA". It matches the Rfam family "Bacterial large subunit ribosomal RNA", at positions 829 to 2494 of the family's 2925-position model. The record is from RNAcentral. Lineage: Eukaryota; Metazoa; Chordata; Actinopteri; Anguilliformes; Anguillidae.